UGGGGAAUUUUGGACAAUGGGCGAAAGCCUGAUCCAGCAAUGCCGCGUGUGUGAAGAAGGCCUUCGGGUUGUAAAGCACUUUUGUCCGGAAAGAAAUCCUCUGGGUUAAUACCUCGGGGGGAUGACGGUACCGGAAGAAUAAGCACCGGCUAACUACGUGCCAGCAGCCGCGGUAAUACGUAGGGUGCAAGCGUUAAUCGGAAUUACUGGGCGUAAAGCGUGCGCAGGCGGUUUUGUAAGACGGAUGUGAAAUCCCCGGGCUUAACCUGGGAGCUGCAUUCGUGACUGCAAGGCUAGAGUAUGGCAGAGGGGGGUAGAAUUCCACGUGUAGCAGUGAAAUGCGUAGAGAUGUGGAGGAAUACCGAUGGCGAAGGCAGCCCCCUGGGCCAAUACUGACGCUCAUGCACGAAAGCGUGGGGAGCAAACAGGAUUAGAUACCCUGGUAGUCCACGCCCUAAACGAUGUCAACUAGUUGUUGGGGAUUCAUUUCCUUAGUAACGUAGCUAACGCGUGAAGUUGACCGCCUGGGGAGUACGGUCGCAAGAUUAAAACUCAAAGGAAUUGACGGGGUCAUAGCUG
Molecule: ribosomal RNA, 579 nt
Filed under: uncultured bacterium
Lineage: Bacteria
Description: partial 16S ribosomal RNA
Rfam family: Bacterial small subunit ribosomal RNA
Source: RNAcentral